Molecule: long non-coding RNA, 654 nt
Organism: Lutra lutra (Eurasian river otter)
Lineage: Eukaryota; Metazoa; Chordata; Mammalia; Carnivora; Mustelidae
Exons: 2
Source: RefSeq, a predicted model, not a curated record
ACAGGGCGCGGAGCGAACCAAUGGCCGGGCGAGCCCCGGCGCGGGGCGGGCCCGUCACGGGGCUCUUGGGGCGGCCCAGCGCGCGGGGCGGGCCCGGGUUCGGUCCGCUCCCGCGGGUCCGCUUGUGCCAGUUGCGAGCCACCCUCCUCCCGCGAUCCCACACACGCACGCACACAGUUCAAACCGAUGGACUCUAACAGCCGCAGGUCUCCUGAUUUCCUGUGUUUAACAUGCAGAAGUGAACACUGGAUCCCAGUUAGAGGUUAGUGCCAAGAAAGGUAUAGUUUUCUUCCAAGUUCCAAAGCGCACAGACCCCAGGAGACCAUGUGUAGAACCUCCUGUGCCGGGAUGGACCAGUGGAGUGGGUCACAGCUUUAGAAACAUGCCGGGAAUCCUCAGUCAUCACCAGGCGCCCCCCGAGCGGCACCUAGCACAUCACUCUGUUCCUAAUGCUCGGCCUCUGGUGGACCCCUGGCUGCCUUCUGACCUCACAGCUGAUUCUUGCCCUGCCCAAAGCCCCAGGACCCAGUAAUGCCUAAAUCCCACGAGAUACCUCCUCUGUGCAGAGCAACCCCUUCUGUGUUUGCUCUCUCCCACUUGCCCCCCCCAGUCCCCUGCCCUUGAUGUAUUUUCCAAAGCUGUCACUGCCACCUA